AUUUGUUAAUUUAAAAAACUUAGAACUAAAUUUAUCGCUUUUGAAACUCUGUGGUUUAAUUUAUUUGGUACACUCCCUAAUCUAUGAGGUUUAAAAUGUAAUUUUACUUCUUUUCUCUUACCGUAAAGAUAGGCAGGUAAUUAAUGUCAAUAGAAAGUUAGAAAGUAGAAACCACUAGAAGUCAGGGAAUGAAGCGAAUGAGAAGGCAGAGUGGCUCAAUCAAUAAUUCAAAUUACACAUUUUAAUUGCUUUUAAACAGUGGUGGGGCAGGAAUUUGUCUUGGAGGGCGCAUAUAGAAAUGAAACGACUAAUC
Quercus robur (English oak) is the source of this 313-nucleotide long non-coding RNA. RefSeq lists it as uncharacterized. The record is from RefSeq and is a predicted model, not a curated record. Lineage: Eukaryota; Viridiplantae; Streptophyta; Magnoliopsida; Fagales; Fagaceae. The transcript has 2 exons.